RNAcentral lists this ribosomal RNA (429 nucleotides) under uncultured bacterium. RNAcentral describes it as "bacterial SSU rRNA". It matches the Rfam family "Bacterial small subunit ribosomal RNA", at positions 355 to 776 of the family's 1533-position model. The record is from RNAcentral.
UCGAGAAUCAUUCACAAUGGAGGAAACUCUGAUGGUGCAACGCCGCGUGGAGGAUGACGGCCCUAGGGUUGUAAACUCCUGUCAUUGGGGAGUAAGACUUAUGCGUUAAGAGCGUGUAAGUUUGAUAGUACCCAAAGAGGAAGGGACGGCUAACUUCGUGCCAGCAGCCGCGGUAAUACGAAGGUCCCAAGCGUUGUUCGGAAUAACUGGGCGUAAAGCGUGUGUAGGCUGCGCGGAAAGUCAAAUGUGAAAGCCAAGGGCUCAACCCUUGAACUGCAUUCGAUACUCCCGUGCUAGAGUAAUGGAGAGGUAAGUGGAAUUCCUGGUGUAGCAGUGAAAUGCGUGGAUAUCAGGAGGAACAUCAAUGGCGAAGGCAACUUACUGGACAUUUACUGACGCUCAGACACGAAGGCUAGGGGAGCGAAAGGG